This 497-nucleotide ribosomal RNA is filed under the name uncultured bacterium. RNAcentral describes it as "partial 16S ribosomal RNA". It matches the Rfam family "Bacterial small subunit ribosomal RNA", at positions 28 to 507 of the family's 1533-position model. The record is from RNAcentral.
GACGAACGCUGGCGGCGUGCCUAAUACAUGCAAGUUGAGCGCUGAAGGUUGGUACUUGUACCAACUGGAUGAGCAGCGAACGGGUGAGUAACGCGUGGGGAAUCUGCCUUUGAGCGGGGGACAACAUUUGGAAACGAAUGCUAAUACCGCAUAAAAACUUUAAACACAAGAUUUAAGUUUGAAAGAUGCAAUUGCAUCACUCAAAGACGAUCCCGCGUUGUAUUAGCUAGUUGGUGAGGUAAAGGCUCACCAAGGCGAUGAUACAUAGCCGACCUGAGAGGGUGAUCGGCCACAUUGGGACUGAGACACGGCCCAAACUCCUACGGGAGGCAGCAGUAGGGAAUCUUCGGCAAUGGACGAAAGUCUGACCGAGCAACGCCGCGUGAGUGAAGAAGGUUUUCGGAUCGUAAAACUCUGUUGGUAGAGAAGAACGUUGGUGAGAGUGGAAAGCUCAUCAAGUGACGGUAACUACCCAGAAAGGGACGGCUAACUACGUG